RNAcentral lists this ribosomal RNA (433 nucleotides) under uncultured bacterium. RNAcentral describes it as "partial 16S ribosomal RNA". It matches the Rfam family "Bacterial small subunit ribosomal RNA", at positions 29 to 507 of the family's 1533-position model. The record is from RNAcentral.
AACGAACGCUGGCGGCAGGCCUAACACAUGCAAGUCGAGCGAGGACUUCGGUCCUAGCGGCGGACGGGAGAGUAACGCGUGGGAACGUGCCCUUUGCUUCGGAAUAGCCCUGGGAAACUGGGAGUAAUACCGGAUGAGCCCUUUGGGGGAAAGAUUUAUCGGCGAAGGAUCGGCCCGCGUUGGAUUAGGUAGUUGGUGGGGUAAUGGCCUACCAAGCCGACGAUCCAUAGCUGGUUUGAGGGGAUGGUCAGCCACACUGGGACUGAGACACGGCCCAGACUCCUACGGGAGGCAGCAGUGGGGAAUCUGAGACAAUGGGGGAAACCCUGAUCUAGCCAUGCCGCGUGAGCGAUGAAGGCCUUAGGGUUGUAAAGCUCUUUCAGCUGGGAAGAUAAUGACGGUACCAGCAGAAGAAGCCCCGGCUAACUCCGUG